Molecule: transfer RNA, 77 nt
Filed under: Ruminococcus sp.
Lineage: Bacteria; Bacillati; Bacillota; Clostridia; Eubacteriales; Oscillospiraceae
Also listed under: 3 other names
Description: tRNA-Val
Rfam family: tRNA
About the family: Transfer RNA (tRNA) molecules are approximately 80 nucleotides in length. Their secondary structure includes four short double-helical elements and three loops (D, anti-codon, and T loops).
Source: RNAcentral
GGAGGCUUAGCUCAGCUGGUUAGAGUACCUGCUUGACGUGCAGGGGGUCAUUGGUUCGAUUCCAAUAGUCUCCACCA